This 370-nucleotide unclassified non-coding RNA is filed under the name uncultured fungus. RNAcentral's name for it is "partial contains small subunit ribosomal RNA, internal transcribed spacer 1, and 5.8S ribosomal RNA". The stretch from base 1 to 73 matches the Rfam family "Eukaryotic small subunit ribosomal RNA", at positions 1759 to 1831 of the family's 1831-position model. Lineage: Eukaryota; Fungi. The record is from RNAcentral.
ACAAACUUGGUCAUUUAGAGGAAGUAAAAGUCGUAACAAGGUUUCCGUAGGUGAACCUGCGGAAGGAUCAUUAAUGAAACAUUUGUCGAGAGGGGUUGUAGCUGGCGGCCUCCACCCAGGGGGUGCGCAGGUGCACGCCCUGAUCGCAAAAUCUUUCCACCUCACACACCUGUGCACGACCUUGCAGCUUUGGGGGAUGCUAACGGAGGGUUUCCUCUUGGACUCCGGAUGUUGCUUCCCUCGCUGUGAAUUUUUCACACACGCAUGCAAAUGUAUUGAACGUAUAAGAUGUCUUAGCGUGUAAAAAGCGCGAAAUAAUACAACUUUCAGCAACGGAUCUCUUGGCUCUCGCAUCGAUGAAGAACGCAGC